GCCUUGUACACACCGCCCGUCACACCACGAGAGUUUGUAAUACCCAAAGCCGGUGAGCUAACCUUUUAGGAGGCAGCCGUCUAAGGUAGGAUAGAUGAUUGGGGUGAAGUCGUAACAAGGUAGCCGUAUCGGAAGGUGCGGCUGGAUCACCUCCUUU
This 157-nucleotide ribosomal RNA is filed under the name Pseudolactococcus raffinolactis. RNAcentral describes it as "Lactococcus raffinolactis partial 16S ribosomal RNA". It matches the Rfam family "Bacterial small subunit ribosomal RNA", at positions 1378 to 1533 of the family's 1533-position model. RNAcentral also lists the same sequence under 1 other name. The record is from RNAcentral. Lineage: Bacteria; Bacillati; Bacillota; Bacilli; Lactobacillales; Streptococcaceae.